CAACAGCAAGGGUUUCCUGUUUGUUUUUUUUUUUUUUCUCUCAAUGAGAAGCUGAGAAUUUACCCUGUCAGUGAAGGCCAAGUCAGGUUUCUGAGAGAAAAGAAUGGAUUUGAAAGGGGCGGUUGUUGCAUGAUUCAGUCUGGCUGGUGAUCAGCAUUAAUAUGAAGAUAGCUUAAAGGUUAAGAUUGAUUGCUCUGUCAUAAGCUAGUUUGGAAACCAGAUACAAUAAUUAUACCAUCCUCUUGAAAUAGCAGUGCUUGGGUAACAUCCCUGCUUCUUUCUGAUACUUGUCCAAUGUCAAAUGAAGGAGUCCUCAGCAUUCAGUGAAUAUUUGCAAUGUUUACAUGAUUAACAUUUCCAUUUGUUUUAUGUUACAGUGUAUAGAAUUAAAUUUAUUGCUUCUAAUGAUUGAAGGUAUGGAGUUUGAAUAGAUGGCUUUUACACUAUGAAUAAUAUGAAUGUAACAAUGAAAUUAUUGGCAGCAGGGGAGCUUUUUUCCCUGGGCUAGCAUUUUCAUUCAAAAUUUGCUCAGUUAAAUGCACAUGCACAGACGGGGACACUUAGUGUCAAAAGUGAUAUGUUCAAGCACUUUAGAGACAUCCUGGAUUUUGUUUUGCUUUGUCACAUCAGGCAUGAGUAGCAUGCAAAAGAUUGCAAAAAGGAGCACAAAGGACGGCCAUUUCCAAAGAGCUAGUCAUCAUCAUGCAGGUGUAAAACCUCUGUUAUAAAAAACCAUCAACAUCCAUUAAAAGUGUGCCAGGUGCAUAUGCGUGUGUGUGUGUGUGUG
Molecule: long non-coding RNA, 787 nt
Filed under: Sarcophilus harrisii (Tasmanian devil)
Lineage: Eukaryota; Metazoa; Chordata; Mammalia; Dasyuromorphia; Dasyuridae
Description: lncRNA (ENSSHAG00000020974.1)
Source: RNAcentral